AUUGGCCCUAGUAACGGCGAGUGAAGCGGCAACAGCUCAAAUUUGAAAUCUGGCUUCGGCCCGAGUUGUAAUUUGCAGAGGAAGCUUCUGGUGCGGCACCGUCCGAGUCCCCUGGAACGGGGCGCCAUAGAGGGUGAGAGCCCCGUAUGGAUGGAUGCCUAUCCUGUGUGAAGCUCCUUCGACGAGUCGAGUAGUUUGGGAAUGCUGCUCAAAAUGGGAGGUAAAUUCCUUCUAAAGCUAAAUACCGGCCAGAGACCGAUAGCGCACAAGUAGAGUGAUCGAAAGAUGAAAAGCACUUUGAAAAGAGGGUUAAACAGCACGUGAAAUUGUUGAAAGGGAAGCGCUUGUGACCAGACUUGUGCCAGGCUGAUCAUCCGGUGUUCUCACCGGUGCACUCUGCCUGGCUCAGGCCAGCAUCGGUUUUCGUGGGGGGAUAAAGGUCCCGGGAAUGUAGCUCCUUCGGGAGUGUUAUAGCCCGGGGCGUAAUGCCCUCGCGGGGACCGAGGUUCGCGCAUCUGCAAGGAUGCUGGCGUAAUGGUCACCAGCGACCCGUCUUGAAACACGGACCAAGGAGUCAAGGUUUUGCGCGAGUGUUUGGGUGCUAAACCCGCAAGCGUAAUGAAAGUGAACGUAGGUUAGAGCUUCGGGGCAUCAUCGACCGAUCCUGAUGUAUUCCGAUGGAUUUGAGUACGAACGUUAAGCCUUGGACCCGAAAGAUGGUGAACUAUGCUUGGAUAGGGUGCAAGCCCGAGGAAACUCUUGUGGGAAGGUCCCAACCGGUUCUUACAGGCAAAUCGAUCUGCCAAUCUUAACAUGGGGGGCCAAAACUAAUCGAACUUCUCCGACUGGUACCGAACCAC
Molecule: ribosomal RNA, 860 nt
Filed under: Lasiosphaeriaceae sp.
Lineage: Eukaryota; Fungi; Ascomycota; Sordariomycetes; Sordariales; Lasiosphaeriaceae
Description: LSU rRNA
Rfam family: Eukaryotic large subunit ribosomal RNA
Source: RNAcentral